AGCAGGCUCCCGUGCAGGAGGUCAG
This 25-nucleotide unclassified non-coding RNA is filed under the name Mus musculus (house mouse). Its description in RNAcentral is "oocyte_clustered_small_RNA13799". Lineage: Eukaryota; Metazoa; Chordata; Mammalia; Rodentia; Muridae. The record is from RNAcentral.